GAUGAACGCUAGCGGCGGGCCUAAUACAUGCAAGUCGAACGGGAAAGGUGGCAACACCUUGAGAGUGGCGUACGGGUGCGUAACGCGUAUACAUCCUGCCUGUUACACGGGGAUAGCCUUGCGAAAGCGAGAUUAAUACCCGAAGGUACUAUUAAGCCGCAUCGCUUGGUAGUUAAAGCUGAGGCGGUAACAGUGGGGUAUGCGUCCCAUUAGCUAGUUGGUAGUGUAACGGACUACCAAGGCGACGAUGGGUAGGGGUUGUGAGAUGAUGAUCCCCCACACUGGUACUGGGAUACGGACCAGACGCCUGCGAGCAGCAGCAGUAGGGAAUCAUGGGCAGUGAACGGAAGUCUGACCCAGCCACGCUGCGUGGAGGAAGAAGGUGCUGUGAAGUGUAAACUGCUUUUCUUGGGGGAGAAAACCUUUCAGCGGAAGGAAUUGACGGUACUCAAGGAAUAAGCAUCGGCUAACUACGUG
RNAcentral lists this ribosomal RNA (477 nucleotides) under uncultured bacterium. RNAcentral's name for it is "partial 16S ribosomal RNA". It matches the Rfam family "Bacterial small subunit ribosomal RNA", at positions 28 to 507 of the family's 1533-position model. The record is from RNAcentral.